GAUGAACGCUGGCUACAGGCUUAACACAUGCAAGUCGAGGGGAAACGACGGGGAAGCUUGCUUCCCCGGGCGUCGACCGGCGCACGGGUGAGUAACGCGUAUCCAACCUGCCUCUGACUGAGGGAUAACCCGUCGAAAGUCGGCCUAAUACCUCAUGGUAUCGUCUGCGGGCAUCCAACGACGAUUAAAGAUUUCAUCGGUCAGGGAUGGGGAUGCGUCUGAUUAGCUUGUUGGCGGGGUAACGGCCCACCAAGGCUACGAUCAGUAGGGGUUCUGAGAGGAAGGUCCCCCACAUUGGAACUGAGACACGGUCCAAACUCCUACGGGAGGCAGCAGUGAGGAAUAUUGGUCAAUGGGCGAGAGCCUGAACCAGCCAAGUAGCGUGCAGGAAGACGGCCCUAUGGGUUGUAAACUGCUUUUAUGCGGGGAUAAAGUGAGGGACGUGUCCCUCAUUGCAGGUACCGCAUGAAUAAGGACCGGCUAAUUCCGUGCCAGCAGCCGCGGUAAUACGGAAGGUCCUGGCGUUAUCCGGAUUUAUUGGGUUUAAAGGGAGCGUAGGCCGUGGAUUAAGCGUGUUGUGAAAUGCAGGUGCUCAACGUCUGCACUGCAGCGCGAACUGGUCCACUUGAGUGUGCGCAACGCAGGCGGAAUUCGUCGUGUAGCGGUGAAAUGCUUAGAUAUGACGAAGAACUCCGAUUGCGAAGGCAGCUUGCGGGAGCACAACUGUCGCUGAAGCUCGAAAGUGCGGGUAUCGAACAGG
RNAcentral lists this ribosomal RNA (760 nucleotides) under uncultured Prevotella sp. RNAcentral's name for it is "bacterial SSU rRNA". It matches the Rfam family "Bacterial small subunit ribosomal RNA", at positions 28 to 776 of the family's 1533-position model. Lineage: Bacteria; Pseudomonadati; Bacteroidota; Bacteroidia; Bacteroidales; Prevotellaceae. The record is from RNAcentral.